Molecule: unclassified non-coding RNA, 300 nt
Filed under: uncultured Tremellales
Lineage: Eukaryota; Fungi; Basidiomycota; Tremellomycetes; Tremellales
Description: sequence contains 5.8S rRNA gene, ITS2
Rfam family: 5.8S ribosomal RNA (bases 1-81)
Source: RNAcentral
AAAGAGACAGGUGAGUCAUCGAAUCUUUGAACGCACAUUGCGCCCCUUGGUAUUCCGGGGGGCAUGCCUGUUUGAGUGUCAUGUAGACUCAAUCCCUCGGGUUUCCGAGGAGAUUGGAUUUGGGUGUCUGCCUCUUCUGGCUCACCUCAAAAGACUUAGCGGGAUAGCACCGUAGUCGACGUAAUAAGUUUCGUCGGUAAAAGUGUGAUGUCUGCUCACAAUCGCCCCUGGGCACUUUUGACUCUGACCUCAAAUCAGGUAGGACUACCCGCUGAACUUAAGCAUAUCAAUAAGCGGAGG